This is a long non-coding RNA of Stegastes partitus (bicolor damselfish), 576 nucleotides long. RefSeq lists it as uncharacterized. The record is from RefSeq and is a predicted model, not a curated record. The transcript is spliced from 2 exons. NCBI's taxonomy places the organism in Eukaryota, Metazoa, Chordata, Actinopteri, Pomacentridae.
UCUGUGCGGCUUGACGCGGCGACACAGGGCGCAACAGUCUGCUGCUUCCCGAGGUUAGACCUGAGGAGGAAGAGGAGGAGAGGCGCGACGAGGAGAAGGAGGUGAAGAGGAGGGACACUGCAAAGCAGGAGACGGAGGAGGACGCGAGGAUGGAUCAUCUCCUUCACGCACCACCGCGCGUAACUGUGCGCACCCACGUGUGCAUGUGCGGGUGGAUGGAAGGUGAAGUCGGUGUGGCGUGGAGGCCCGAGCAGAUCCCUGACCUCAGCCACAUGCAGCCCCUCUGAGACUGCAGCCAGCCAACAUCUAUGUGGGACUGAUGCAGCCAGAAAAUCCCUGCAGCCAUGAGUCAACAUCUGGAGGAAAGGCUUAGUGUCUGUCAGGAUAAUGCAGUCCAGUUCGACGGCUCCACAAAAAUGCAUCCUCUGAAAUAAAGUUGAAACAAAACUCCUCUUGAACUGAUCAAACAUUACAACAAGUUUUUUGCAAGAUCGCUGCGUCAGUUUGAGCUUUUUCGAUGUUUCAGUGUCGCAUUCUUUCCUAAAUGCACUUCUUGUUUAACUGAUUUGUGUUUGA